CCUGCGCAUUGGCUCCAUUCCCACUGUGACUCGUCAAUCGUCAUCGACCCAGAAAUCACUGAGGAAAGAAGCUAUUCUCUCUCGCUCUCUUCUCUUCUCCCUCACACUAUGCUGCUCCGGUAUCUUCCCUUCUCUAUUUCACUAUCUCUCACUCUAUAUAUCUCCCGCCCAACGCAAGGUCCGCAUAAGGGAAGAGGCAAGUCGUCUUCCAUAGAGCUCCUCCAUCGCUGCGUCUUGAAGAACCUUCUCGAACGGCCCCAAGCUAACGCCUGAAGCCUCUCAAUUUCAAACCCAUCAAGGAUCGCCUGAAGCUUCUCAUCUCUUCCCUUCGACGGUGGUUUCUUCUAAUCUUCAAACUCAAGGUCAUCUCUGAUGCAGCCUCGUCAAAGGCCUGGUUUGUGAGUUAUUGAAUUUCUCAAAUUUAACCUAGUUCUCUAGCCUCUGAAGAUUUGCCUGCUACAAGAUUCCAAUCGCUGCUGUCACGGGAAAAAGGUACUUUCUGUGGAAAUAAUUUCUGGUUAUGUCAUUGGUGAUUUGGAAGGAUUGGUCUUCAAUCUGCAUGAUUUGCACAUCUUUCCUAUGGUCCUUGGUGAGGUGUAAAGGCCAUAUAUGCCCUCAUGAAGGGAGGAUGCAAAGGAGGUCAAGUUUAGGGAGGAGUUUGAGGGGGCGGUGCUUGAGAGACACUCAGCACCAGGGGGGUUGCAUAUGAUAGUGAUAAGGAUACGCCUGCUGAUGUGGAGACAGAAGCAGAAGCGAGAGAGACACUGCAUGCUAAGGCAGCCAACAUAGUUGCACAUUGGCAGGAGUAGGAUAAAGGCAGGGAGUUCAAGGAGCUGGUUCUUCAAGCAUACUGUGACAUGGCUAUCUUUGUGAUACAAUCAGAGGAAUGGUUCCAUUGGCGGCAACAAUCUUCUAGUGGUUUUGAGUCUCCUCGAAAAUCUAUGUGAUAUCUUCUAGUGUACUGUUAAAUGGUUAUUCUUCUUCUUCUUCAUUCUUAAUACAUAUUUCAAUUUCUUUUAUUGAAUGCAUGCUGGUAGUGCUAAA
Macadamia integrifolia is the source of this 1044-nucleotide long non-coding RNA. RefSeq lists it as uncharacterized. Lineage: Eukaryota; Viridiplantae; Streptophyta; Magnoliopsida; Proteales; Proteaceae. The record is from RefSeq and is a predicted model, not a curated record. The transcript is spliced from 2 exons.